Molecule: ribosomal RNA, 775 nt
Filed under: uncultured bacterium
Lineage: Bacteria
Description: bacterial SSU rRNA
Rfam family: Bacterial small subunit ribosomal RNA
Source: RNAcentral
GACGAACGCUGGCGGCGUGCCUAAUACAUGCAAGUCGAACGCUUUGAUUUUCACCGGAGCUUGCUCCACCGAAAAUCAAAGAGUGGCGGACGGGUGAGUAACACGUGGGCAACCUGCCCAACAGAGGGGGAUAACACUUGGAAACAGGUGCUAAUACCGCAUAAUUUGUUUUUCCGCAUGGAAGAAUAAUAAAAGACGCUUCGGUGUCACUGUUGGAUGGGCCCGCGCUGCAUUAGUUAGUUGGUGGGGUAACGGCCUACCAAGACCAUGAUGCAUAGCCGACCUGAGAGGGUGAUCGGCCACACUGGGACUGAGACACGGCCCAGACUCCUACGGGAGGCAGCAGUAGGGAAUCUUCGGCAAUGGACGAAGGUCUGACCGAGCAACGCCGCGUGAGUGAAGAAGGUUUUCGGAUCGUAAAACUCUGUUGUUAGAGAAGAACAAGUGAGAGAGUUACUGUUCUCACCUUGACGGUAUCUAACCAGAAAGCCACGGCUAACUACGUGCCAGCAGCCGCGGUAAUACGUAGGUGGCAAGCGUUGUCCGGAUUUAUUGGGCGUAAAGCGAGCGCAGGCGGUUUCUUAAGUCUGAUGUGAAAGCCCUCGGCUCAACCGAGGAAGGUCAUUGGAAACUGGGGAACUUGAGUGCAGAAGAGGAGAGUGGAAUUCCAUGUGUAGCGGUGAAAUGCGUAGAUAUAUGGAGGAACACCAGUGGCGAAGGCGACUCUCUGGUCUGUAACUGACGCUGAGGCUCGAAAGCGUGGGGAGCAAACAGG